Molecule: ribosomal RNA, 421 nt
Filed under: uncultured bacterium
Lineage: Bacteria
Description: bacterial SSU rRNA
Rfam family: Bacterial small subunit ribosomal RNA
Source: RNAcentral
UAAGGAAUAUUGGACAAUGGAGGCAACUCUGAUCCAGCCAUGCCGCGUGAAGGAAUAAGGCCCUAUGGGUUGUAAACUUCUUUUAGACGGGACAAAACCCCUUUACGUGUAAAGGGUUGAUGGUACUGUCAGAAUAAGCAUCGGCUAACUUCGUGCCAGCAGCCGCGGUAAUACGAAGGAUGCAAGCGUUAUCCGGAAUUAUUGGGUUUAAAGGGUGCGUAGGCGGACUAAUAAGUCAGUGGUGAAAGCCUGCAGCUUAACUGCAGAAUUGCCAUUGAUACUGUUAGUCUUGAGUACAGUUGAGGUAGGCGGAAUGUGUCAUGUAGCGGUGAAAUGCUAGAUAUGACACAGAACACCGAUUGCGAAGGCAGCUUGCUAAGCUGUAACUGACGCUGAGGCACGAAAGCGUGGGGAGCAAACA